GGAGUUAAGACUUCGGUUUUAACUUAGUGGCGAACGGGUGAGUAACGCGUGAGGAACCUGCCUCUCAGUGGGGGACAACAGUUGGAAACGACUGCUAAUACCGCAUAAUGUCAUGAACUGGCAUCGGUUUAUGACCAAAGAUUUAUUGCUGAGAGAUGGCCUCGCGUCUGAUUAGCUAGUUGGUGGGGUAACGGCCCACCAAGGCGACGAUCAGUAGCCGGACUGAGAGGUUGACCGGCCACAUUGGGACUGAGAUACGGCCCAGACUCCUACGGGAGGCAGCAGUGGGGAAUAUUGGGCAAUGGGCGAAAGCCUGACCCAGCAACGCCGCGUGAAGGAAGAAGGCCUUCGGGUUGUAAACUUCUUUUACCAGGGACGAACACAAUGACGGUACCUGGAGAAAAAGCAACGGCUAACUACGUGCCAGCAGCCGCGGUAAUACGUAGGUUGCAAGCGUUGUCCGGAAUUACUGGGUGUAAAGGGCGUGUAGGCGGAGAUGCAAGUUGGGAGUGAAAUCCAUGGGCUCAACCCAUGAACUGCUUUCAAAACUGCAUCCCUUGAGUAUCGGAGAGGCAAGCGGAAUUCCUAGUGUAGCGGUGAAAUGCGUAGAUAUUAGGAGGAACACCAGUGGCGAAGGCGGCUUGCUGGACGA
This 652-nucleotide ribosomal RNA is filed under the name uncultured low G+C Gram-positive bacterium. RNAcentral describes it as "bacterial SSU rRNA". It matches the Rfam family "Bacterial small subunit ribosomal RNA", at positions 68 to 736 of the family's 1533-position model. Lineage: Bacteria; Bacillati; Bacillota. The record is from RNAcentral.